UGGGGAAUUUUGGACAAUGGGGCAACCCUGAUCCAGCCAUCCCGCGUGUGCGAUGAAGGCCUUCGGGUUGUAAAGCACUUUUGGCAGGGAAGAAACAGCCUGGGCUAAUAUCCCGGGCGACUGACGGUACCUGCAGAAUAAGCACCGGCUAACUACGUGCCAGCAGCCGCGGUAAUACGUAGGGUGCAAGCGUUAAUCGGAAUUACUGGGCGUAAAGCGUGCGCAGGCGGUUCGGAAAGAAAGGUGUGAAAUCCCAGGGCUUAACCUUGGAACUGCACUUUUAACUACCGGGCUAGAGUACGUCAGAGGGGGGUAGAAUUCCACGUGUAGCAGUGAAAUGCGUAGAGAUGUGGAGGAAUACCGAUGGCGAAGGCAGCCCCCUGGGAUGAUACUGACGCUCAUGCACGAAAGCGUGGGGAGCAAACA
Molecule: ribosomal RNA, 426 nt
Filed under: uncultured bacterium
Lineage: Bacteria
Description: bacterial SSU rRNA
Rfam family: Bacterial small subunit ribosomal RNA
Source: RNAcentral